This 72-nucleotide transfer RNA is filed under the name Loxodonta africana (African savanna elephant). It matches the Rfam family "tRNA". Rfam says of the family: Transfer RNA (tRNA) molecules are approximately 80 nucleotides in length. Their secondary structure includes four short double-helical elements and three loops (D, anti-codon, and T loops). Further hydrogen bonds mediate the characteristic L-shaped molecular structure. tRNAs have two regions of fundamental functional importance: the anti-codon, which is responsible for specific mRNA codon recognition, and the 3' end, to which the tRNAs corresponding amino acid is attached (by aminoacyl-tRNA synthetases). tRNAs cope with the degeneracy of the genetic code in two manners: having more than one tRNA (with a specific anti-codon) for a particular amino acid; and 'wobble' base-pairing, i.e. permitting non-standard base-pairing at the 3rd anti-codon position. Lineage: Eukaryota; Metazoa; Chordata; Mammalia; Proboscidea; Elephantidae. The record is from Rfam by way of RNAcentral.
GCCCCGGUGGCACAAUGGGUAAGCACUUAGCUGCUAACAAAAAGGUUGGUGGUUGGAACCCACCCAGUGGCU